GCACCCAUAGCUCAAUUGGAUAGAGUGACAGUCUACGAAACUGUAGGUUACAAGUUCGAUUCUUGUUGGGUGCG
This 74-nucleotide transfer RNA is filed under the name Planctomycetota bacterium. Its description in RNAcentral is "Planctomycetes bacterium (wastewater metagenome) tRNA-Arg". It matches the Rfam family "tRNA". From Rfam's summary of the family: Transfer RNA (tRNA) molecules are approximately 80 nucleotides in length. Their secondary structure includes four short double-helical elements and three loops (D, anti-codon, and T loops). Further hydrogen bonds mediate the characteristic L-shaped molecular structure. tRNAs have two regions of fundamental functional importance: the anti-codon, which is responsible for specific mRNA codon recognition, and the 3' end, to which the tRNAs corresponding amino acid is attached (by aminoacyl-tRNA synthetases). tRNAs cope with the degeneracy of the genetic code in two manners: having more than one tRNA (with a specific anti-codon) for a particular amino acid; and 'wobble' base-pairing, i.e. permitting non-standard base-pairing at the 3rd anti-codon position. Lineage: Bacteria; Pseudomonadati; Planctomycetota. The record is from RNAcentral.